UUUAACAUUGUCCUCAUUAUGGAAGAUAAGCUGAAUAUUUUCUGAUUCCUGCUUUUGCAUUAGUUGGCGCUAUAAUGGAUACUAAAAUUUUAAUUACUUUUUAACACAGUUGAGUUACAAAAAGUUCACCAAGGAAGUCUGCACCACAGAACUGAGUUCUACUAAAGCCAUAUAUGUUCAUUAUAUGCUCUCUUCCUUGUGCUCACAGGGCCUGUUACUGUGGAAGAUGAGCAGGCAUGGAUGCAUCUUAUAAAUACGUAGGUGCUACCACGAAUAUCCAUCCAUAUUUAUCUACCAUGAUCAACUAUGCACAGCCUGUAAAGUUUCAAGGUUUCCAUGUGGCUGAAGAACGUAACAUUCAUUAUAACAUGUCUUCUUUAAUGAAUCCGUUGGUCUUGGCUACUUGAAGACACAUGCAAUUGAAUUUGUAAAUUAUAACAAACGGCAGAUGAGUCGCAUUUACCCAAGGAGGCCGAGUUGAUUCCAGUAAUUAUAUGCCUCAGAUUUUCUGGAACGCUGGCUGCCAGAUGGUUUCACUGAACUAUCAAACCCCAGACUUAGCAAUGCAAUUGAAUCAGGGAAAUUUGAGUAUAAUGGAUCAUGCGGGUACCUUCUCAAAACCAGAUUUCAUGAGGCGGCCUGACCGGACAUUUGAUCCCUUCUCUGAAACCCCUGUUGAUGGGGUUAUUGCAGCCACUUGCUCAGUGCAGGU
Castor canadensis (American beaver) is the source of this 712-nucleotide non-coding RNA. The record is from RefSeq and is a predicted model, not a curated record. Lineage: Eukaryota; Metazoa; Chordata; Mammalia; Rodentia; Castoridae.